CUUCGGAGGUAACGAGCGGCGAAUCGGUGAGUAAGGGAUGNGCAAUCUGCCCUUCACAUCGGAAUAACCUCGGGAAACCGAUUUCAUACCGGAUACAACAAUCGAAGGCAUCUUCUGGUGGUGGAAAGUUCCGGCGGUGGGGGAUGAGCUCGCGGCCUAUCAGCUUGUUGGUGGGGUAACGGCCUACCAAGGCGACGACGGGUAGCCGGCCUGAGAGGGUGACCGGCCACACUGGGACUGAGACACGGCCCAGACUCCUACGGGAGGCAGCAGUGGG
RNAcentral lists this ribosomal RNA (277 nucleotides) under uncultured Nocardioidaceae bacterium. Its description in RNAcentral is "partial 16S ribosomal RNA". It matches the Rfam family "Bacterial small subunit ribosomal RNA", at positions 80 to 358 of the family's 1533-position model. Lineage: Bacteria; Bacillati; Actinomycetota; Actinomycetes; Propionibacteriales; Nocardioidaceae. The record is from RNAcentral.